AUUAAAAAAACGUCCGUAGUCAAACUUUAAUCUUACCGGCGUAGUGGCCUGGUCUUCAUUGACCAAGCUCAUUGCUGCCGGAGACUCCACGUCCAUUGACUCCUAGUCCUCGUGGCUAGGGUUUUCUGGACAAUUACCAUGAGCAAAUCAGAGUGUUUAAAGCAGGCUUUUAAGCUUGAAUGUGUUAGCAUGGAAUAAUGAAAUAUGACUUUAGUCCUAUUUUCGUUGGUUUAGGUACUUCAGUAAUGAUGAAUAGAAACGGUUAGGGGCAUUUGUAUUUGGUCGCUAGAGGUGAAAUUCUUGGAUUGACCGAAGACAAACUACUGCGAAAGCAUUUGACCCGGGACGUUUUCAUUGAUCAAGGUCUAAAGUUAAGGGAUCGAAGACGAUUAGAUACCGUCGUAGUCUUAACCACAAACUAUGCCGACUAGAGAUUGGGCGUGUUUAUUAUGACUCGCUCAGCAUCUUAGCGAAAGUAAAGUUUUUGGGUUCUGGGGGGAGUAUGGGACGCAAGGCUGAAACUUAAAGGAAUUGACGGAAGGGCACCACCAGGAGUGGAGCCUGCGGCUUAAUUUGACUCAACACGGGGAAACUCACCAGGUCCAGACAUAGUAAGGAUUGACAGAUUGAAAGCUCUUUCUAGAUUCUAUGGGUGGUGGUGCAUGGCCGUUCUUAGUUCGUGGAGUGAUUUGUCUGGUUAAUUCCGAUAACGAACGAGACCUUAUUCUGCUAAUUAGACAGGCUAACUCUUUCGGGUUGGUUUAUAUUUAAUAUUUAACUGGCUUCUUAGAGAGACUAUCGGCUUCAAGCCGAAGAAGUUUUAGGCAUAACAGGCAUGUAGUGCCCUCAGGA
This 852-nucleotide ribosomal RNA is filed under the name Amylomyces rouxii. Its description in RNAcentral is "SSU rRNA". It matches the Rfam family "Eukaryotic small subunit ribosomal RNA", at positions 618 to 1478 of the family's 1831-position model. The record is from RNAcentral. Lineage: Eukaryota; Fungi; Mucoromycota; Mucoromycetes; Mucorales; Mucoraceae.